GUAAGCGCCAGAGCUAGCUUCGGAUCAUUCGUGAUCUGCGGAAAGUCCACCCACUCAUUACCGACCGCUUGUCGCAAGGCAAGAAGGGGAGACUCUUGGCAACACAGACAAGAGAAAAAACCACCUGUUUUUUGGGAUGAUACGCAAAAGAACCGCCUUGGUAACAGACGGGAGUUAACUCGUUGACGACAAAACAGGAAAGGAUGAGAACUGUGCCCUGGUUGAGUGCAAGUCUUUUUGACGCUUAGUCUACUGCUAGCAAGGUCAUCGCAAAGAAAAGUACUUCUUUGUUUGGGCCAAUAACAGAAGGUGGCUUAUCUGGCGCAUAC
This 329-nucleotide RNase P RNA is filed under the name Candidatus Woesearchaeota archaeon. RNAcentral describes it as "RNase P RNA component". It matches the Rfam family "Archaeal RNase P". From Rfam's summary of the family: Ribonuclease P (RNase P) is a ubiquitous endoribonuclease, found in archaea, bacteria and eukarya as well as chloroplasts and mitochondria. Its best characterised activity is the generation of mature 5'-ends of tRNAs by cleaving the 5'-leader elements of precursor-tRNAs. Lineage: Archaea; Nanobdellati; Candidatus Woesearchaeota. The record is from RNAcentral.